AUUGAACGCUGGCGGCAGGCCUAACACAUGCAAGUCGAACGGUAACAGGAAGAAGCUUGCUUCUUUGCUGACGAGUGGCGGACGAGUGAGUAAUGUCUGGGAAACUGCCUGAUGGAGGGGGAUAACUACUGGAAACGGUAGCUAAUACCGCAUAACGUCGCAAGACCAAAAAGGGGGACCUUCGGGCUUCUUGCAAUCGGAUGUGCCCAGACGGGAUUAGCUAGUAGGUGGGGUAACGGCUCACCUAGGCGACGAUCCCUAGCUGGUCUGAGAGGAUGACCAGCCACACUGGAACUGAGACACGGUCCAGACUCCUACGGGAGGCAGCAGUGGGGAAUAUUGCACAAUGGGCGCAAGCCUGAUGCAGCCAUGCCGCGUGUAUGAAGAAGGCCUUCGGGUUGUAAAGUACUUUCAGCGGGGAGGAAGGGAGUAAAGUUAAUACCUUUGCUCAUUGACGUUACCCGCAGAAGAAGCACCGGCUAACUCCGUG
RNAcentral lists this ribosomal RNA (490 nucleotides) under uncultured bacterium. RNAcentral's name for it is "partial 16S ribosomal RNA". It matches the Rfam family "Bacterial small subunit ribosomal RNA", at positions 30 to 507 of the family's 1533-position model. The record is from RNAcentral.